CGGUUUUGUGUGGGAAAAAUGACAACAUAGCGACAGUGUUUAUCCAGAAGCGAAAAACAGUAUUUUACUGAGAUUUUAACGUCAAUAUAAAGGUUAUUCCGUGAAAAAUCAAGACAACUAUAGAAUGAAAGUAUAAUUUUUCGAAUUUGACAUUAAUAUGAAAGAAAACAAGAGGUCAAAAAUCACAAGAGAACGUCAAAUGUCAUUGAUUCGUACGGGAAAAUAUGAACUAUGGCUGUGGCUCGAUAACAUUCUGCAAGCAGCUUACGAGUUUAAAAAAUGAAGGCUACAUUACCUGAGUGAGUUGUAAUCUUAUUUCUUCAACAAUAGUUUCAUAUUUCUUACGAUUUUGGUGUUGUAUAGACGUUUUGUAGCCUUGUUGGUUGUUUGUUUUGGCCAUACAAACUACGACAAUAAUACAAAGUCAAAGGUUUCCUUUUUCGAUUGACUCCAGCAUCUUUUGCUUUAAAUAUCAUGUUAUAUUUUCUCAGAAGUAUUUUUUUCAACUUUCAAACUCAGUUUUAUAGAUAUUAUUUUCGAAAAAAGCCGUAAUAUUCACGAAAAAAAGCUGCCAUAGGCGACAGCAAAAAAAACAUUUUUUCAAUUUUCCCGCGUUUUUCCCCGUUUCCUAGGAUACAAGGCCUCGAUCACGAUUUAUGAAUAAGGUCUAU
Non-coding RNA from Paramuricea clavata, 671 nucleotides. NCBI's taxonomy places the organism in Eukaryota, Metazoa, Cnidaria, Anthozoa, Malacalcyonacea, Plexauridae. The record is from the annotation of a GenBank genome assembly.